This 736-nucleotide ribosomal RNA is filed under the name uncultured bacterium. Its description in RNAcentral is "bacterial SSU rRNA". It matches the Rfam family "Bacterial small subunit ribosomal RNA", at positions 8 to 722 of the family's 1533-position model. The record is from RNAcentral.
AGAGUUUGAUCAUGGCUCAGAACGAACGCUUGCGGCGUGCUUAACACAUGCAAGUCGAACGAGAAAGGGACUUCGGUCCUGAGUAAAGUGGCGCACGGGUGAGUAACGCGUAGGUAAUCUACCUCUGUGUUCGGGACAACAUCGGGAAACUGGUGCUAAUACCGGAUACGUUUCACAUUUAGCGAUAAGAGUGAAGGAAAGAUGGGGACCUUUCGGGGCCUAUUGCACGGAGAUGAGCCUGCGUACCAUUAGCUAGUUGGCAGGGUAAGGGCCUACCAAGGCGACGAUCCGUAGCUGGUCUGAGAGGAUGAUCAGCCACACUGGGACUGAGACACGGCCCAGACUCCUACGGGAGGCAGCAGUGGGGAAUAUUGCACAAUGGGCGCAAGCCUGAUGCAGCAAUGCCGCGUGUGUGAAGAAGGCCUGCGGGUUGUAAAGCACUUUUAUUAGGAAAGAAAAACCCGGAGCUAAUACCUCCGGCAUUGACGGUACCUAAAGAAUAAGCACCGGCUAACUCAGUGCCAGCAGCCGCGGUAAUACUGAGGGUGCGAGCGUUAAUCGGAAUUACUGGGCGUAAAGCGAGUGUAGGCGGUUGCCUAAGUCGGAUGUGAAAGCCCCGGGCUUAACCUGGGAAUUGCAUUCGAUACUGGGUGACUAGAGUUUGGUAGAGGUAAGUGGAAUUCCGGGUGCAGCGGUGAAAUGCGUAGAUAUCCGGAGGAACAUCAGUGGCGAAGGC